GGUGGAGCCCCCUGGAGGUCCCGUCCUUAUUGCCAUUGGAAAUGCUUUAAUUGCCUGGUAAGGGUGUGUCUCUCAAAGGUUUCCAGACUAGACUUUAUUUAGUUAAGAUAUUUUGCAAAAUUGCUCUACUCUUUGAAAAUAUCCUUAUUAUUGCAGAUACUUCGAUAUGCAUCCUUUUGCAAUUGUCUUCCAUGUUUACAGCUCAUACAAAAGUCGCAUUUCUUUCGAUGCCUACACCCGAAACGAUCCACACAUGUCAGGAGCAAAAUCAAAUCAUCUGUGACUUUUCAAUGAGUCUGGGCAAAAUAACGUAAACAACUGCAAUGGAAUUUGAAUGCCUUGUAAGUGGAUACUUGGACAGCACUUUCGGCUGUCAUUUGUUCGAAAUAAAUAAGGAAAAGGAUCGCUUCUGCCAGUUACAGCUAAAGAUUCGGGUGCCUGAAAAAUAAAGCAAUUAAGAGUCUGCUUCUGUCACUAAGAGAGAGAGAGAGAGAGAGAGCAUGCCUGACGAACAAUAAUAAAAAAGAGGAAACGAAAUUAUUGCCAACACAUGGAAGAGAUUCUAGACACAUGAAACUGCAUGAACUGCAGGGAGACAACCACUCCACUCUACAUUCUGCUCAAUAAAAUAUUUGCCUUCAUUUGCAUUCAUUCUGAUUGAAAGUUCAGACUUCAGUCUUCAGUCUUUUGUACAAACUGAAUGAGGAACAGGCGCGACUUCCUUCCUGGACCAACUUCCUCUAUAAAAUCAAAACAAGAGAGAGAUGACACAAAAGGGAAAAGUUCUGCCCAUUAUCCCAUUCUCAGCCUCAACGCCGCCGUCGCGACUAAAUAGCUGUUAUACUCUGAUGAGGCGACGCCGACUGUCCGCUCCGCACGGCUCGGCUCGGCUCGUCUCGGCUCGUCUCGGUUCAGAUCAGUUCAGUUCGGUUGGUCUUGGAUUGGAUUGACUCAGCACACAGGCAUAGCAUCAGCCUGCGACUCCUUGACUCGGAUCUUUGGCACAUAAAACAUGUUAAUGUUGCAAGCUGCAAUUUUCAGCAAGACUCGCUAGCAG
RNAcentral lists this long non-coding RNA (1057 nucleotides) under Drosophila guanche. Lineage: Eukaryota; Metazoa; Arthropoda; Insecta; Diptera; Drosophilidae. The record is from RNAcentral.